CUUUGCACCCCGCUGACGAGCGGCGGACGGGUGAGUAAUGCAUAGGAAACUGCCCAGUAGUGGGGGAUAGCCCGGGGAAACCCGGAUUAAUACCGCGUACGCCCUUCGGGGGAAAGCAGGGGAUCUUCGGACCUUGCGCUAUUGGAUGUGCCUAUGUCGGAUUAGCUAGUUGGUGGGGUAAAGGCCUACCAAGGCGACGAUCCGUAGCUGGUCUGAGAGGAUGAUCAGCCACAUCGGGACUGAGACACGGCCCGAACUCCUACGGGAGGCAGCAGUGGGGAAUAUUGGACAAUGGGGGCAACCCUGAUCCAGCCAUGCCGCGUGUGUGAAGAAGGCUUUCGGGUUGUAAAGCACUUUCAGUGAGGAGGAAAACUCUGCGACUAAUACUCGUAGGGCUUGACGUUACUCACAGAAGAAGCACCGGCUAACUCCGUGCCAGCAGCCGCGGUAAUACGGAGGGUGCAAGCGUUAAUCGGAAUUACUGGGCGUAAAGCGCGCGUAGGUGGUUUGAUAAGCGAGAUGUGAAAGCCCCGGGCUUAACCUGGGAACGGCAUUUCGAACUGUCAGGCUAGAGUAUGGUAGAGGGUAGUGGAAUUUCCUGUGUAGCGG
This 609-nucleotide ribosomal RNA is filed under the name Marinobacter flavimaris. RNAcentral describes it as "bacterial SSU rRNA". It matches the Rfam family "Bacterial small subunit ribosomal RNA", at positions 79 to 681 of the family's 1533-position model. The record is from RNAcentral. Lineage: Bacteria; Pseudomonadati; Pseudomonadota; Gammaproteobacteria; Pseudomonadales; Marinobacteraceae.